CGAAAUGCGAUAAGUAAUGUGAAUUGCAGAAUUCAGUGAAUCAUCGAAUCUUUGAACGCACCUUGCGCUCCUUGGUAUUCCUUGGAGCAUGCCUGUUUGAGUAUCAUGAAAUCUUCAAAGUAAAUCUUUUGUUAACUCAAUUGGUUUCUACUUUGGUAUUGGAGGUCUUUGCAGCUUCACACCUGCUCCUCUUUGUUCAUUAGCUGGAUCUCAGUGUUAUGCUUGGUUCCACUCGGCGUGAUAAGUUAUCUAUCGCUGAGGACACUGUAAAAGGUGGCCAAGGUAAAUGCAGAUGAACCGCUUCUAAUAGUCCAUUGACUUGGACAAUACUUUUAUGAUCUGAUCUCAAAUCAGGUAGGACUACCCGCUGAACUUAUGC
Molecule: unclassified non-coding RNA, 379 nt
Filed under: plant metagenome
Description: partial contains 5.8S ribosomal RNA, internal transcribed spacer 2, and large subunit ribosomal RNA
Rfam family: 5.8S ribosomal RNA (bases 1-106)
Source: RNAcentral